Long non-coding RNA from Gorilla gorilla gorilla (western lowland gorilla), 315 nucleotides. RefSeq lists it as uncharacterized. NCBI's taxonomy places the organism in Eukaryota, Metazoa, Chordata, Mammalia, Primates, Hominidae. The transcript has 2 exons. The record is from RefSeq and is a predicted model, not a curated record.
GUUUACUGGUCACCUGCACUAAGGGCCUGAGAGAAAAGGACACUGAAUAUCAUAGAGAGAUGCAUAGGUGUUACACUCAGAAAGAGAAUGAACAACUAGAAGAUGUGGAAGGCAAGCUUUUUAGUAUUAAGAGGGCUUAGAAUAUAAACUGACACCUUGAAGAAGUGAUCAUCUUGUAAUCAACACUUUAUUCUAAGGAUAACAGAGAUAAAUGAUAUAAGGAUCUCUGUUUCUUAAUGGCAUUGUCGAGCCCCAAACUUUCUACUGCUAGAUAUUUUAUUGCAUGAAAUAAAUAAACCUUAGUUGCUUAAAAUA